Molecule: long non-coding RNA, 1152 nt
Organism: Apis dorsata (giant honeybee)
Lineage: Eukaryota; Metazoa; Arthropoda; Insecta; Hymenoptera; Apidae
Exons: 2
Source: RefSeq, a predicted model, not a curated record
UAUCCGGUCGAGCAAGUGCCGCUUAAAUUGUGGAAGACGAAGUAAAAGAAGAAAAAGAAGAAGGAUGCCAGAAGACAGUGAAAAAAGAAGUAGUGGAAACAUUGUGAGAGAGGAGAUAAUCGCGUGUGCGAAUCGGAAAAAGGAACACAAGAAGAAGAAGAAAAAGGAGGAGGAAAGAAAGUCCGACGCGAGACUAAACUGUUCGCGGCCCAUGAUAUCUCUUCGAGCAAAGGACAAUCGUAUAAUUAGAUGUCCUGGCGAAGCCUACACAAUAUCCAGAGGGAAGAUACAUUGGCGGCAGGUUAGGCAUAUUCCAAGGGAGAGUAGAUAGAAGCGAUCUCGAGAGGCUAUAUCGUCCGGCAAUCGGUGUGUUCAGGAGAGUAAUCGAUGCUGGAAUGCGGGUAGGAAUGCUCGAACUGGCCGACGAACGGGAUCACCCGGAUGCUGGCGUUUGUCUUCAACCGAACACUUAAAAAUGCCGCUUUUUGGCUUGGCCACGCGACCACCUCCGGUUCCGUUUAAACUGUAAUCGUUCUUUCUAUUUCGAUUGUGUUUAAUUCUUUAACGGAUAUAAUUAAAAUAAGAAAUAAUUUUUAGAAAAUAAUUAUUCCUUUUUAAAAGCUAUAGUUUUAGGCGUUAGAAAGUAUAUUAUACAUUGUAGUUUUUUGUUACGAAGAUAAAUUUUAAUAUGAGGUUGGUAUAGUUAUAAUUGUCCUUAAUAAUUAGCUAGAAUCUCUCUUGUGCGUCGCGUAUAAACUAGAAUGUAUCGGUAUACUGGAUAGAGAAUCUUGUUCGAUAGAGGAUGAAAGGUCGGCCGAGUGGCCGCGUGUACACGGCUCUGCGGAGAAAUUGAAUAUUCACGUUGCGUGCGGAGGGCGCAGCCUUAGAGAGUAGCGAGUCGUCUGAAAAUAUCGUAGUUCGCGACCAUUUAGAUCGUGUAUUCCCUCUAAUUUUUAUGCCCGUCGAUAAAGAUCUUCCACACGAUUUCCUCCUGGAAAAAAUAGCAUAAAAAGAAACUAGACAUCAUUAUAAAUCAGAUAUUCUUAAAUCAGAAACAAUACAGUUUGGAUUAACAGAAGAAUCGAUCAAAAUUCUUCGAAUGAAGAACAACGAGUUUGAAUUUAUCCUAUAGCGUGUAUCGAAAGUAUUAAA